RNAcentral lists this microRNA precursor (83 nucleotides) under Cebus imitator (Panamanian white-faced capuchin). RNAcentral's name for it is "miRNA (ENSCCAG00000011498.1)". The record is from RNAcentral. Lineage: Eukaryota; Metazoa; Chordata; Mammalia; Primates; Cebidae.
GUAUUAGGUUGGUGCAAAAGUAAUUGCAGUCUUUGCAGUUACUUUAAUGGUAAAACCACAGUUACUUUUGCACCAACCUAAUA